AGAAGAGAGAGGAACUUCCAUAUUCACCAGAGUUCAACACAGACCAUCAUCAUCACCUUCAUUCAACAUGCUGUCAUUACACUAUUAUUUACAUUCCCUACUGUUAGUUUCCAUUCUAAGAGGGGUCAGCUGUGAAGAUCUCACUGCAUUACAGAGAGAAGAGUUCAGUCCAGAAGGCAGCUCUAUUACUCUGUCCUACAGAUACUCCAAGGUUGCUGAAUUGGAUGAUUAUUUCUUCUGGUAUCGACAAUAUCCAGGAAAACCACCAGAGUUCCUCAUCUUUCACUUGGGAACACAAAAUACAACAAACUCUCGACUGUCCGUUAAACCGAAUGAGGAUAAAACCCAGAUCAAUCUGAGCAUCUCCUCUGUUGCAGUGACAGACUCUGCUGUGUACUACUGUGCUGUGAGGCCCACAGUGACAGGAAACACCAACACUCUGUACAAAAACCUUUGGAGCAAAGACAACACAACACUGCACAGCAUCCACCAGAGGGAGGCUCUCUCUGACAGACUUUAGGGAAACAACACAACUAAUGUUCAAACAACU
Non-coding RNA from Gymnodraco acuticeps, 550 nucleotides. The record is from the annotation of a RefSeq genome assembly. Lineage: Eukaryota; Metazoa; Chordata; Actinopteri; Perciformes; Bathydraconidae.